This 605-nucleotide ribosomal RNA is filed under the name bovine rumen bacterium JPR1. RNAcentral's name for it is "bacterial SSU rRNA". It matches the Rfam family "Bacterial small subunit ribosomal RNA", at positions 802 to 1404 of the family's 1533-position model. The record is from RNAcentral. RNAcentral also lists the same sequence under 1 other name.
GUAAACGGUGGAUGCUGGAUGUGGGGCCCAUUCCACGGGUUCCGUGUCGGAGCUAACGCGUUAAGCAUCCCGCCUGGGGAGUACGGCCGCAAGGCUAAAACUCAAAGAAAUUGACGGGGGCCCGCACAAGCGGCGGAGCAUGCGGAUUAAUUCGAUGCAACGCGAAGAACCUUACCUGGGCUUGACAUGUUCCGGACAGCCUCGGAGACGGGGCCUCCCCUCGGGGCCGGUUCACAGGUGGUGCAUGGUCGUCGUCAGCUCGUGUCGUGAGAUGUUGGGUUAAGUCCCGCAACGAGCGCAACCCUCGCCCCGUGUUGCCAGCACGUGAUGGUGGGAACUCACGGGGGACCGCCGGGGUUAACUCGGAGGAAGGUGGGGAUGACGUCAGAUCAUCAUGCCCCUUACGUCCAGGGCUUCACGCAUGCUACAAUGGCCGGUACAACGGGAUGCGACAUGGCGACAUGGAGCGGAUCCCUGAAAACCGGUCUCAGUUCGGAUUGGAGUCUGCAACCCGACUCCAUGAAGGCGGAGUCGCUAGUAAUCGCGGAUCAGCAACGCCGCGGUGAAUGCGUUCCCGGGCCUUGUACACACCGCCCGUCAAGUCA